GGAGUACAGAAUGUUUCGGCCAAACUCCAUAUUUUACUCCAUAAUAAAAUUUAUUCUAUUUAUGGAAUAAUCUAUUCUUCUCUCUUAUCUCUCUCGUCUCUCUCAUCUUUUCUUGAAGUUACCGGCUUUCGGAUUUGCAGUCUCUGGCCAACGUCCAGUUCGCCGGCAUUGUGCCUUGUUUUGUCACCGACUUGUUUGGGGUUUGUCUCAGGUCAUCCAUGUGUGAAGAUUCAAGGUGUUGCGGUUAUCUGGAGAAGAGUAUGAAGAUUUAAAACUCUGGUCAUGUUCAGACGGUGUUUUAAGGAAUGCUCUAGUCCGAUUAACUGGGUUCUUAACUCUUGGUGUUUAAGCCUAAAUCUCAACAAUCUUUUGGGAUAAUCAAAGCAAAGGCUUCAAACGAUGCAAAUAAAAGUGAGUACGAGCUUGUUAAUUCUAAGUGGCUUUGCAUUUUCCGGUGAUGAUGGUGAGAUGGUGAUGAAGACUGCGGUGACGAAGUCACGAUGUGGUGGGGAUGAUGUCACGACGAAGUCAACAUGAUGUCAUACCUCUGGAUUCCUUUAGAAGCUCUACCAUUUAGGUUACACGUGUAAUGCACUAAAGAUAUAUAUUUCUUGUGUAAUCUAGAAACUGGGCUUUUCUUUGCAUUGUAAUCUUUAAAGCCCAUGUGGGCAUUAAUGAAAAUGUUGACCAAAAAAAAAAGUCUGCGUAU
Long non-coding RNA from Brassica oleracea var. oleracea, 709 nucleotides. RefSeq lists it as uncharacterized. The transcript has 2 exons. NCBI's taxonomy places the organism in Eukaryota, Viridiplantae, Streptophyta, Magnoliopsida, Brassicales, Brassicaceae. The record is from RefSeq and is a predicted model, not a curated record.